This 253-nucleotide ribosomal RNA is filed under the name uncultured bacterium. RNAcentral describes it as "partial 16S ribosomal RNA". It matches the Rfam family "Bacterial small subunit ribosomal RNA", at positions 524 to 776 of the family's 1533-position model. The record is from RNAcentral.
UACGUAGGGUGCAAGCGUUGUCCGGAAUUAUUGGGCGUAAAGGGCUCGUAGGCGGUCCAUCGCGUCGGGAGUGAAAAGCUGGGGCUUAACCCCAGUCCUGCUUCCGAUACGGGUGGACUAGAGGUAGGUAGGGGAGAACGGAAUUCCUGGUGUAGCGGUGAAAUGCGCAGAUAUCAGGAGGAACACCGGUGGCGAAGGCGGUUCUCUGGGCCUUACCUGACGCUGAGGAACGAAAGCUAGGGGAGCAAACAGG